RNAcentral lists this transfer RNA (72 nucleotides) under Prochlorococcus sp. RNAcentral describes it as "tRNA-Trp". It matches the Rfam family "tRNA". From Rfam's summary of the family: Transfer RNA (tRNA) molecules are approximately 80 nucleotides in length. Their secondary structure includes four short double-helical elements and three loops (D, anti-codon, and T loops). The record is from RNAcentral. Lineage: Bacteria; Bacillati; Cyanobacteriota; Cyanophyceae; Synechococcales; Prochlorococcaceae.
GACUUUGUGGCGCAAUGGUAGCGCAUCUGGCUCCAGUCCAGAAGGUUGCGUGUUCAAAUCACGUCAAGGUCA